GAUGAACGCUGGCGGCGUGCCUAAUACAUGCAAGUCGAGCGAACAGACGAGGAGCUUGCUCCUCUGACGUUAGCGGCGGACGGGUGAGUAACACGUGGAUAACCUACCUAUAAGACUGGGAUAACUUUGGGAAACCGGAGCUAAUACCGGAUAAUAUAUUGAACCGCAUGGUUCAAUAGUGAAAGACGGUUUUGCUGUCACUUAUAGAUGGAUCCGCGCCGCAUUAGCUAGUUGGUAAGGUAACGGCUUACCAAGGCGACGAUGCGUAGCCGACCUGAGAGGGUGAUCGGCCACACUGGAACUGAGACACGGUCCAGACUCCUACGGGAGGCAGCAGUAGGGAAUCUUCCGCAAUGGGCGAAAGCCUGACGGAGCAACGCCGCGUGAGUGAUGAAGGUCUUCGGAUCGUAAAACUCUGUUAUUAGGGAAGAACAAAUGUGUAAGUAACUAUGCACGUCUUGACGGUACCUAAGCAGAAAGCCACGGCUAACUACGU
RNAcentral lists this ribosomal RNA (496 nucleotides) under uncultured bacterium. RNAcentral describes it as "partial 16S ribosomal RNA". It matches the Rfam family "Bacterial small subunit ribosomal RNA", at positions 28 to 506 of the family's 1533-position model. The record is from RNAcentral.